AGUGAACGCUGGCGGUAGGCCUAACACAUGCAAGUCGAACGGCAGCACAGUAAGAGCUUGCUCUUACGGGUGGCGAGUGGCGGACGGGUGAGGAAUACAUCGGAAUCUACUUUUUCGUGGGGGAUAACGUAGGGAAACUUACGCUAAUACCGCAUACGACCUACGGGUGAAAGCAGGGGAUCUUCGGACCUUGCGCGAUUGAAUGAGCCGAUGUCGGAUUAGCUAGUUGGCGGGGUAAAGGCCCACCAAGGCGACGAUCCGUAGCUGGUCUGAGAGGAUGAUCAGCCACACUGGAACUGAGACACGGUCCAGACUCCUACGGGAGGCAGCAGUGGGGAAUAUUGGACAAUGGGCGCAAGCCUGAUCCAGCCAUACCGCGUGGGUGAAGAAGGCCUUCGGGUUGUAAAGCCCUUUUGUUGGGAAAGAAAAGCAGCAGGUUAAUACCCCGCUGUUCCGACGGUACCCAAAGAACAAGCACCGGCUAACUUCGUG
This 492-nucleotide ribosomal RNA is filed under the name uncultured bacterium. RNAcentral describes it as "partial 16S ribosomal RNA". It matches the Rfam family "Bacterial small subunit ribosomal RNA", at positions 29 to 507 of the family's 1533-position model. The record is from RNAcentral.